RNAcentral lists this ribosomal RNA (468 nucleotides) under uncultured bacterium. RNAcentral's name for it is "partial 16S ribosomal RNA". It matches the Rfam family "Bacterial small subunit ribosomal RNA", at positions 28 to 507 of the family's 1533-position model. The record is from RNAcentral.
GACGAACGCUGGCGGCGUGCUUAACACAUGCAAGUCGAACGGAAAGGCCCUGCUUUUGUGGGGUGCUCGAGUGGCGAAAGGGUGAGUAACACGUGAGUAACCUGCCCUUGACUUUGGGAUAACUUCAGGAAACUGGGGCUAAUACCGGAUAGGAGCUCCUGCUGCAUGGUGGGGGUUGGAAAGUUUCGGCGGUUGGGGAUGGACUCGCGGCUUAUCAGCUUGUUGGUGGGGUAGUGGCUUACCAAGGCUUUGACGGGUAGCCGGCCUGAGAGGGUGACCGGCCACAUUGGGAAUGAGAUACCGCCCAGACUCCUACGGGAGGCAGCAGUGGGGAAUAUUGCACAAUGGGCGGAAGCCUGAUGCAGCAACGCCGCGGGCGGGAUGACGGCCUUCGGGGUGGAAACCGCUUUCGCCUGUGACGAAGCGUGAGUGACGGUAAUGGGUAAAGAAGCACCGGCUAACUACGUG